Molecule: ribosomal RNA, 253 nt
Filed under: uncultured bacterium
Lineage: Bacteria
Description: partial 16S ribosomal RNA
Rfam family: Bacterial small subunit ribosomal RNA
Source: RNAcentral
UACGGAGGGUGCAAGCGUUAUCCGGAUUCACUGGGUUUAAAGGGUGCGUAGGUGGGUUGGUAAGUCAGUGGUGAAAUCUCCGUGCUUAACAUGGAAACUGCCAUUGAUACUACUGAUCUUGAAUUUUCCGGAGGUAAGCGGAAUAUGUCAUGUAGCGGUGAAAUGCUUAGAUAUGACAUAGAACACCAAUUGCGUAGGCAGCUUACUACAGGGACAUUGACACUGAGGCACGAAAGCGUGGGGAUCAAACAGG